CCUACGGGGGGCUGCAGUGGGGAAUUUUGCGCAAUGGGGGAAACCCUGACGCAGCAACGCCGCGUGCGGGAUGACGGCCUUCGGGUUGUAAACCGCUUUCAGCAGGGAAGAAGAUCGACGGUACCUGCAGAAGAAGCUCCGGCUAACUACGUGCCAGCAGCCGCGGUAAUACGUAGGGAGCGAGCGUUAUCCGGAUUCAUUGGGCGUAAAGAGCGCGUAGGCGGCCUUUCAAGCGGGAUCUCUAAUCCGAGGGCUCAACCCCCGGCCGGAUCCCGAACUGGGAGGCUCGAGUUCGGUAGAGGCAGGCGGAAUUCCCGGUGUAGCGGUGGAAUGCGCAGAUAUCGGGAAGAACACCGAUGGCGAAGGCAGCCUGCUGGGCCGAAACUGACGCUGAGGCGCGAAAGCUAGGGGAGCGAACAGGAUUAGAUACCCCGGUAGUC
RNAcentral lists this ribosomal RNA (440 nucleotides) under uncultured Eggerthella sp. RNAcentral describes it as "bacterial SSU rRNA". It matches the Rfam family "Bacterial small subunit ribosomal RNA", at positions 338 to 795 of the family's 1533-position model. Lineage: Bacteria; Bacillati; Actinomycetota; Coriobacteriia; Eggerthellales; Eggerthellaceae. The record is from RNAcentral.